CCUACGGGGGGCAGCAGUGGGGAAUAUUGCGCAAUGGGCGAAAGCCUGACGCAGCGACGCCGCGUGAGGGAUGAAGGUCUUCGGAUCGUAAACCUCUGUCAGCAGGGAAGAACGGUCACUGUGCUAAUCAGCAGUGAAUUGACGGUACCUGCAAAGGAAGCACCGGCUAACUCCGUGCCAGCAGCCGCGGUAAUACGGAGGGUGCGAGCGUUAAUCGGAAUUACUGGGCGUAAAGCGCUCGUAGGCGGUAUGUCAAGUCAAGGGUGAAAUCCCCGCGCUCAACGUGGGAACUGCCUUUGAAACUGGCAAACUGGAGUGUGUGAGAGGAGAGUGGAAUUCCAGGUGUAGGAGUGAAAUGCGUAGAGAUCUGGAGGAACAUCAGUGGCGAAGGCGACUAUCUGGCACAUAACUGACGCUGAGGAGCGAAAGCGUGGGGAGCAAACAGGAUUAGAUACCCUGGUAGUC
Molecule: ribosomal RNA, 465 nt
Filed under: uncultured bacterium
Lineage: Bacteria
Description: partial 16S ribosomal RNA
Rfam family: Bacterial small subunit ribosomal RNA
Source: RNAcentral